UUCCUCCAACUCUAAUUGGUCUCUCCUCAUUUUAUUCUCCAACUCUAAUUGUUUGCUUUUCAUUUCAUCCUCUAACUCUAGUUCUUUUUUUCUCAUUUCAUAAAUUUUGUUCUUUCUGAGUGUUUUAUGUGUUGCCUCACUUUGUGCUAAAUGUCAAUCAUAUUAUUCAUCCUCCUUGUUCUCCUCUUCUACAUUAGUUAUCUUUGCCCACCAACUCCUCCAAACAUGUCAUCUCUGACAAAAACCUCCAUAUCUACCACUUGAAGUUUGAUUCGUGUGAGAAUACAUAAACUAUUCAAUGUUCUAUGUGCGCUCAUUUGCAACUCGUAAUGCUUCCUCCAACUCUAAUUGGUCUCUCCUCAUUUUAUUCUCCAACUCUAAUUGUUUGCUUUUCAUUUCAUCCUCUAACUCUAGUUCUUUUUUUCUCAUUUCAUAAAUUUCGUUCUUUCUGAGUGUUUUAUGUGUUGCCUCACUUUGUGCUAAAUGUCUCACAGUUUAUGUCGUAUCAGCGGUUAAAAUUAGUGGACGAGACGAUCUUUCUUCAUAAGCAAUUCUCAUGCUCAAACACCUAUCUCAUGGAUUGAAAUCUGUGGCAAGAGGUCCAACACCAUACAUUCUCCCAUUUUUAUUCUUCCCUCCAGCGUUACCAUUCCAAGUUUGUGUUGACACAAUAGGAUCAAUAUGAUAUGGCCAUGUUGUUACUACUACCUCAGGAUGCCGCAAUAGGUAGUGUGCAAGUUAUCUUUUAUACUCCUCCUACA
This 761-nucleotide long non-coding RNA is filed under the name Lathyrus oleraceus (garden pea). RNAcentral describes it as "Pisum sativum (pea) long non-coding RNA (PSAT_LNC007284)". The record is from RNAcentral. Lineage: Eukaryota; Viridiplantae; Streptophyta; Magnoliopsida; Fabales; Fabaceae.